UGGGUGUCUUCCUCAAAUAAAAGA
RNAcentral lists this non-coding RNA (24 nucleotides) under Arabidopsis thaliana (thale cress). Lineage: Eukaryota; Viridiplantae; Streptophyta; Magnoliopsida; Brassicales; Brassicaceae. The record is from RNAcentral.